AGUCGUGCGAGAAAGUAUCUUCGGAUAUGAGUAGAGCGGCGAACGGGUGAGUAACGCGCAGGAAUGUACCUAGUAGAAGGGGAUAGCCCGAGGAAACUCGGAUUAAUACCGUAUACCUCCUUCGGGAGAAAGAAGGCCUCUCUUUGAAGCUUUCGCUACUAGAUCAGCCUGCGUAAGAUUAGCUUGUUGGUGAGGUAAAGGCUCACCAAGGCAACGACCUUUAGCUGGUCUGAGAGGACGAUCAGCCACAUUGGGACCGAGACACGGCCCAGACUCCUGCGGGAGGCAGCAGUGGGGAAUAUUGGACAAUGGGCGCAAGCCUGAUCCAGCCAUACCGCGUGUGUGAAGAAGGCCUUCGGGUUGUAAAGCACUUUAAGCAGGGAGAAAAAAAUAUAGGCUAAUACCCUAUGUUCUUGAUGUUACCUGCAGAAUAAGCACCGGCUAAUUCCGUGCCAGCAGCCGCGGUAAUACGGAAGGUGUAAGCGUUAAUCGGAAUUACUGGGCGUAAAGCGCGCGUAGGUGGUUUGUUAAGUUGGAUGUGAAAGCCCUGGGCUCAACCUAGGAACUGCAUCCAAAACUGACUGACUAGAGUACGAUAGAGGGAGGUAGAAUUCAUAGUGUAGCGGUGGAAUGCGUGGAUAUUAUGAAGAAUACCAGUGGCGAAGGCGGCCUCCUGGAUCUGUACUGACACUGAGGUGCGAAAGCGUGGGUAGCGAACAGGAUUAGAUACCCUGGUAGUCCACGCCGUAAACGAUGACAACUAUCUGUUGGGAGGCAAUGCUUUCAGUGGAGCAGCUAACGUUUUAAGUU
RNAcentral lists this ribosomal RNA (810 nucleotides) under uncultured Gammaproteobacteria bacterium. RNAcentral's name for it is "bacterial SSU rRNA". It matches the Rfam family "Bacterial small subunit ribosomal RNA", at positions 60 to 866 of the family's 1533-position model. Lineage: Bacteria; Pseudomonadati; Pseudomonadota; Gammaproteobacteria. The record is from RNAcentral.